AUGAGGGCCCCCACUCAGCUCCUCAGUCUCCUGCUGCUCUGGCUCCCAGGUGCCGAACGUGACAUCCAGAUGACCCAGUCUCCAUCCUCUGUGUCUGCAUCUCUAAGAGAAAGAGUCACCAUCUCUUGCCGGGCCAGUCAAAGCAUUAGCAAAUAUUUAGCCUGGUAUCAGCAGAAACCAGGGAAAGCUCCUAAGCUCCUGAUCUAUGGUGCAUCCAAUUUGGAAACUGGGGUCCCAUCCCGGUUCACUGGCAGUGGAUCUGGGACAGAUUUCACCCUCACCAUCAACAGCCUAGAGGCUCAAGAUGCUGCAACUUAUUACUGUCAACAGUAUGAUGAAAUACCUCCCACAGUGUUACAAACCAGAACGUAA
Non-coding RNA from Physeter macrocephalus (sperm whale), 372 nucleotides. The record is from the annotation of a RefSeq genome assembly. NCBI's taxonomy places the organism in Eukaryota, Metazoa, Chordata, Mammalia, Artiodactyla, Physeteridae.